Molecule: ribosomal RNA, 253 nt
Filed under: uncultured bacterium
Lineage: Bacteria
Description: partial 16S ribosomal RNA
Rfam family: Bacterial small subunit ribosomal RNA
Source: RNAcentral
UACGAAGGGGGCUAGCGUUGUUCGGAAUCACUGGGCGUAAAGGGCGCGUAGGCGGCCCUCCUAGUCGCGUGUGAAAGCCCCCGGCUCAACUGGGGAGGGUCACGCGAUACUGAUCGACUCGAAGGCAGGAGAGGGUAGUGGAAUUCCCGGUGUAGUGGUGAAAUGCGUAGAUAUCGGGAGGAACACCAGUGGCGAAGGCGACUACCUGGCCUGUUCUUGACGCUGAGGCGCGAAAGCUAGGGGAGCAAACGGG